AUGGAUUAUGAUCCAUCGGAUGAGAAAAAGGCUAUUGAUGAUACAAAAGCGGGUGUUAAGGGACUAGUUGAUUCUGGAAUAGUCAAGAUUCCAAGAAUUUUCAUUAGGCCACCUCAUGAACUUGCUGAGGAGUAUGUGCAAGUCAACUCAACAGGUUCCGGUGGUGGAUCUAAGUGGCAUAGAAGUUGAAGAUCGGCGUAAGAUCAUUGUUGAUGAAAUAAGGGAAGUAUCUGAGAAAUUGGGCCUUUUCCAAGUGAUAAAUCAUGGGGUUCCUUCAAGUGUUUUGGAAGGAAUGAUUGAUGGGACUCGUAAAUUUCAUGAACAAGAUGUCGAAGUGAAGAAAGAGUACUAUUCGUCUGAUCCAACAACCAGACGAGUUAGAUAUGAUGGCAAUGUUCAUAUGUACAAAACAAAAGGAAAGACUGCACACUGGAAGGAUACAUUGUCUGUUGCUGGGCUAGUUUCUGGUCACAUUGAACCUGAAGAAUUACCAGAAGUUUGCAGGAAGGAAUACGUUGAGUACACAAAUCAUGUCGAUAAACUAGGGGAAAUUCUUUUUGGCAUACUAUCAGAAGGUCUUGGGCUAAAACCUGAUCAGUUGAAAGCUACAGAAUGUGCCAAAGAACAAGGGAUGACAUGCCAUUACUACCCGGCAUGCCCACAGCCAGAGCUAACUCUUGGUACCGACAAGCAUACAGAUCCUGUUUUCCUUACGUUUAUCCUUCAAAAUCAGAUUGGUGGGCUCCAAGUCAUGUGUGAUAACCAAUGGGCCGAUGUUGAACCAAUUGAACAUGGUUUGAUUGUUAUUAUUGGUGACCUUCUUCAGAUCCUAUCAAAUGACAAGUUUGUAAGUGCAAUUCAUAGAGUUGUAGCAGAAAAUGUAGGACCAAGGAUUUCAGCGGCAAGCUUCUUCACUGGAGGUUCUACAUCUCCGAAGAUGCAUGGUCCAAUCAAAGAGCUCAUAUCAGAAGAAAAUCCCCCACUAUAUAAAUAAUUUCAAGUAGAUGAUUAUCUCACUAAGUUUUUCUCCAAGCCUCUUGAUAAGACUGGUCUUGAUCUUUUCAGACUCUGA
RNA transcript from Solanum verrucosum, 1072 nucleotides. It is a transcript of the gene named deacetoxyvindoline 4-hydroxylase-like, with no coding region annotated. The record is from RefSeq and is a predicted model, not a curated record. Lineage: Eukaryota; Viridiplantae; Streptophyta; Magnoliopsida; Solanales; Solanaceae. The transcript is spliced from 3 exons.